CUGGAACUGAGACACGGUCCAGACUCCUACGGGAGGCAGCAGUAGGGAAUAUUGCGCAAUGGGGGAAACCCUGACGCAGCAACGCCGCGUGGAGGAUGACACUUUUCGGAGCGUAAACUCCUUUUCUUAGGGAAGAAUUCUGACGGUACCUAAGGAAUAAGCACCGGCUAACUCCGUGCCAGCAGCCGCGGUAAUACGGAGGGUGCAAGCGUUACUCGGAAUCACUGGGCGUAAAGGGCGCGUAGGCGGAUUAUCAAGUCUCUUGUGAAAUCUAAUGGCUUAACCAUUAAACUGCUUGGGAAACUGAUAGUCUAGAGUGAGGGAGAGGCAGAUGGAAUUGGUGGUGUAGGGGUAAAAUCCGUAGAUAUCACCAAGAAUACCCAUUGCGAAGGCGAUCUGCUGGAACUCAACUGACGCUAAGGCGCGAAAGCGUGGGGAGCAAACAGGAUUAGAUACCCUGGUAGUCCACGCCCUAAACGAUGUACACUAGUUGUUGGGGUGCUAGUCAUCUCAGUAAUGCAGCUAACGCAUUAAGUGUACCGCCUGGGGAGUACGGUCGCAAGAUUAAAACUCAAAGGAAUAGACGGGGACCCGCACAAGCGGUGGAGCAUGUGGUUUAAUUCGAAGAUACGCGAAGAACCUUACCUGGGCUUGAUAUCCUAAGAACCUUUUAGAGAUAAGAGGGUGCUAGCUUGCUAGAACUUAGAGACAGGUGCUGCACGGCUGUCGUCAGCUCGUGUCGUGAGAUGUUGGGUUAAGUCCCGCAACGAGCGCAACCCACGUAUUUAGUUGCUAACGGUUCGGCCGAGCACUCUAAAUAGACUGCCUUCGUAAGGAGGAGGAAGGUGUGGACGACGUCAAGUCAUCAUGGCCCUUAUGCCCAGGGCGACACACGUGCUACAAUGGCAUAUACAAUGAGACGCAAUACCGCGAGGUGGAGCAAAUCUAUAAAAUAUGUCCCAGUUCGGAUUGUUCUCUGCAACUCGAGAGCAUGAAGCCGGAAUCGCUAGUAAUCGUAGAUCAGCCAUGCUACGGUGAAUACGUUCCCGGGUCUUGUACUCACCGCCCGUCACACCAUGGGAGUUGAUUUCACUCGAAGCCGGAAUACUAAACUAGUUACCGUCCACAGUGGAAUCAGCGACUGGGGUGAAGUCGUAACAAGGUAACCGUAGGAGAACCUGCGGUUGGAUCACCUCCUUUCUA
This 1203-nucleotide ribosomal RNA is filed under the name Campylobacter coli. RNAcentral's name for it is "bacterial SSU rRNA". It matches the Rfam family "Bacterial small subunit ribosomal RNA", at positions 313 to 1533 of the family's 1533-position model. The record is from RNAcentral. Lineage: Bacteria; Pseudomonadati; Campylobacterota; Epsilonproteobacteria; Campylobacterales; Campylobacteraceae.